AGUAAACCCGUGCCUCUCUAGGAAGAAAAAGAUACAUUUUUUUGGUUUUUGGGAGACACGACACAAAUUCAUUUGUCAGAUGAUUUGCAUGUAACUAAAGUGGAGGAAAAUACUGAAAAAGAGGCGCAAUGCCCUUGUGUUUAUUUAUGUUGGGCAUGCAUGCCUUGGUGGAAGGUAGGUAGGCAACUUACAUCAUCGUACUGCUGAGCCCGAGCCACAACUUAUUUAUGCUACUCCCGCGUACUUACGAACUACAUACACCACACAAGUCCAGCUCUCAAACGGCGCGGGCUCCAGCUCACAUUCACUUGACAGCGACCUUGCCGCCUCAGAGCGCGGCGGUUGCCAUUCUCAGGAAGGCCUCCACGGCUUCGUCGCCGCGGCCGCGGUCACCACGGCGGCGGUCCCCGCGCUCCUGCUCCUGCUGCUCGGGUCCGGCGACGAAGCCCUCGUCCUGCUGAUCCUUGGCGCGGAACACCUCCUGCACCUCCCUGGCGGGCCUGCCGAACGUGAGCUCCUGCGCGGGGUUGUCCAGCUUGCCGAUCACGUUGUUCCUCCCGGCGAGCCACACCCUCUCGUUCCUCUCGGCGUUGAUCUCGAAGCACACCACCUGGAGGUUGCUGCUGCCGCGGGACGAGGCGAUCUCCACGACCGGGUGGCCGGGGGGCACCACGAACGCCGAGCCGCGCGACACCCGCGCGCGGACCGUCUCGUACCUCUGCUGAUCCUGCUCCUCCUCCGACUCGGAGCCGGAGCCGCGUCGGCGUUGCUGCCGCUGGUCGUCCUCUUCUUCCUCGCUCCGCCUGCCCUUGCCGUGCUCGUGCUCGCGCUCGCUGUCCUGGCCAAGGUGCGGGCACACGAUCUGCACCUCGCCCUCGCCUUCCAGCACGACGGCGAGCUUGAACGACUGGGUGUUCAAGUAAGGCGCGGUCAUAGAUCCCUGUCGAUCGACAUAUGCACUCAUGUAAACAGCAGUCAAGUAACAAAUCAAGAUAUCAAGCCCGCCGCCGGUGAACUAAUUAAGCGUGGUGACGCACCGGUGUGAUGUUGGCCACGGCGACACGGACGUCGUGUUGGGCAAGGGCGUGGAAGCUCCGGGCGUCGGCCUCGAAGAGGCGGCCAUGGCGGUUGGCGAUCUUGGGGCGCUGCUCCAGGAGGUUAAAGGUGUCGCGCGAGUCGCCGCGGAACGGGGGGAGAGGCCAGUGGUGGCCCUGCCCGCCCUCGGACGCCUCGCGACGCAGCUCGCGGAGCUGCUCCUCGGACGCGCGGACGAUGGAGAUGGGCUCCUCCUCCUGGCCUUGGCGCCUGCCGAACAGCAGCCUGUCCAGCUGCUCAUCCGAGGUCUGCACGUUCACGUCCAUGUCCAUGGAUGUGAGUACAAGUUUUUCUUUUUUGAGUAAAGAAAGAAGAGAUUGACUAGUGCAUGCAUGUAAGUAGGUACGUACCUUGAGAGCCGCUCUCAGCACGCGUUUGCUCAAACUCGCGAGAAGAGGCUUGGCCGAGAAAUACUGCAUGGGAUAUCCACGUGUCAGUCAUUCAUUGCGUCGUUAUCCAUUCGAGAAAUUCGAGCGGCGUCAAACUUUUUAAUUACCUGGAACUUGCCGGGCACGGAGAUGGUGUGGAGGAUCUUGGCGAUGACCAGCUUCCUCCGGCCGUCGGUGUUGGCCAGGUGCAUGAUGGACCCCGCCGGCGCCACGAUGACAUCGCCUUGCCUGACGGAGUAGGACCGCCUCUCGCCGUUCUCGAUCACCGUCAGCACCCCCUCGCCUGCAUGCAUGCAUGCAUGCGCACGUUAGUUAUCAUCGAUCGGCAGAUGCAUGAUACGUGUACAAGAUGGACGGUACCUUGAGCGACGUAGCCGACGCCGUCCGCGUCCGUGAGUCCCGGCACGACGAACGAGCGCGGGUUCACCUCCAUGAUGGCGACGCGGUAGUUCCUGAUGCCUCGGAGGAGCCUGGACACUUCGUCGAACGGGCGAAGGGCCUUCACGAACCCGUGGUCGCUCCGGAUGAUGCUACGAAAGUUGCGCGGGCCGAACACGUACGGCCGGCGGCUAUCCCCGUGCUCCUCAUCACGCUCUCCCUCGCCGCGCCGGCCACGGCCCUGCUCGUGCUUUCCGUGCUCCUCACGCUCCCCCUCGCCGUGCCGCCCACGGCCACGGCCCUCCUCCUCCUCACGCUCUCCCUCGCCGUGCCGCCCACGGCCACGGCCCUCCUCCUCCUCACGCUCCCCCUGGCCGUGCCUGCCACGGCCACGGCCCUGCUCCUCCUCACGCCCCCCUUCGCCGUGCCGGCCAUGGCCACGGCCUUGCUCCUCCUGCUCGUGCCUCCCGUGCUGCUGCUGGUCCUCCCUGCACUCCUGCACGCACCGAGCAUGCGAGUACCGUGGCCGGUCCUGCUGGCACCGCUGCACGCACUGCUGCAGCGAGUGCCCACCGCGCCUGUCCUCCUCGUCGUCACGGGAGGCCGAAACAGCCGCGGCAAAGAGAAGGCUGGUUCCCAGGAGGAAGAGGAGAGGAAUGGUUGCUCUGAUCGCCAUGGUUUGUCACUCUGCUUGCUACCUCGCUCUGUGUGUGUGUCUUGUGCUGGGAAUGGAGGUCGACGCACCGUAUUUGUAGCGCGCGCGCCGCUGUACGUGGGGCCGUGGCGCGGCUACGUGGAGGAGCACUGCGUGCCACCGGGGAGGCGGGUCGCCACGUCGCGCGGUCGUGCUUAUCGGGCCAUCGGCAAGGUGCGUGCCAGCUUGGGCGUCGCGUGUCGUGGCGUGCUCUUGCUCGCGGCGGGCGGCGCGGCGCCGAGCGACGGAGAGAGUUGAGUGGAUAGCGGUGCUAGGUACGGAGCACCUAGACACUCGUUGGAGUACAUGCCCGAGCAGAGCACAUCAUCCCAUGACUAGUAGUACUGUAGUACUCCCUCCGUCCCAAAAUUCUUGUCUUAAAUUUGUUUAGAUACGGAUGUAUCUAAUAUUAAAACAUGACUUGGUUUAUCCGUAUUUAGACAAAUUUAACACAAGAAUUUUGGGACGGGGGAGUACUUCCCAGGCCUCUGAAGUAAACCUGAGCAUGGACCGGGCUGGCCUGGAUCGGGCUUAGCUUUCGGGUAGACGUUCGUUUUGCAAGCGAGACAUAUGGCUGGCUCGCCUGAAUCUAGCGACAAACGUUUUUUAUUCACAUUUUUUGAUUUCGUUUUCCGCUUUCUUUUCUUUAACGUUGUUUGUACUUUUAAAUAAUAUAAAUAUAUACGCCCUCCAUCCUAAAAUAAAUGUCUUCGAUUCAGUAAAACUUCAGUACAAAGUUGUACUCCCUCCGUCUCGUCGCAUAAAUGGAUGUAUCUCGAUAUAUUUUUAGUUCUAGACACAUUCAUUUCUGCAACGAGAUGGAUGGAUAGAUGCAUUCAUUUCCACGACAAGUAAUUAGGGAUAGAAAGAGUACUAAAUAAGUGUCUUUGAUUUAAUAAAACUUUAGUAUAAAGUUAAACUAAAUUAGACACAGAUUUUGGGAUGGAUGCAGUGCAUUACAAAAAAUACUUUACAUAUUUUCUUUCAAAAAAUACUUUACAUAUUUUUUUCAAAAAAUGUUAAUCAGGCAUUUGAAAAAUGUUAAAUGUGGAUAGGAAAACUGUGUCUAAUGUACACUAAAAAUGUUUAAUAAAUGCACAAUAUUUUUAGAAAAAAAAUCAACAUAUGAGAAUAUAUGUUUUAGAAAAAAUUAAUUAUGUAUUUAGAAAAUGUUAAAUGUGUAUAUGAAAAAUGUUCUUGCUGUAUACAAAAAAUCUUCAGUGUGCUUGGAAAAAGUAGCUAUAAAAUAUGUUUAAAAAUGCUAAUCAUUUAUUAAGGAAAUGUAAAAGAUGUAUAUACAUGAAAUGAUCCUGAUGUAUACAAAAAUUCUACAAUGUUUAUAGACAAGUAGGGAUAAAAUAUAUAUAAAUUUAUAAAACUGUUAAUUAUGUAUUUGGAAAAUAUUAAACACAUAUAUCAAAAAUAUUCCUAAUCUAUAAAAAUGUACAAUGUUUAUGGACAAAUUAGAUAUUGUAUGUUCAAAAAUGUUAAGCAUGUAUUUACAAAAUGUUAAAUUUAUACAUAAAAAUGUUCCUGAUGUGAACAUUUUCUUUACAACUCCUAUGAAGACGUAAAAAUAAGUUUUCAAAAAUAGUAGUCAUAUAUUUAUAAAAUAUUAAAUAUAUAUACUAAAAAUGUUCCUGAUGUAUAUGAAAAAUGUACGACUGGAAAAGAAGGAAACCAUCAAAAACCAGAAAAGAAAAACAAAGAAAAGUGAAGGAAACGGAGAAAGAAAAGCNNNNNNNNNNNNNNNNNNNNNNNNNNNNNNNNNNNNNNNNNNNNNNNNNNNNNNNNNNNNNNNNNNNNNNNNNNNNNNNNNNNNNNNNNNNNNNNNNNNNNNNNNNNNNNNNNNNNNNNNNNNNNNNNNNNNNNNNNNNNNNNNNNNNNNNNNNNNNNNNNNNNNNNNNNNNNNNNNNNNNNNNNNNNNNNNNNNNNNNNNNNNNNNNNNNNNNNNNNNNNNNNNNNNNNNNNNNNNNNNNNNNNNNNNNNNNNNNNNNNNNNNNNNNNNNNNNNNNNNNNNNNNNNNNNAAGGACGAGCUCCCAAAUGAGAGAGUGCCUGAGCCCCUAGCGUGCAAGCGGAUAGGGAGGAGAAGAACUCGGUCAUCCUAGUUAUAAAGUGAUGCAAAAAUUGCUUAAGACGAGUGUACAAUGGAACUUCCGAUGGGUGAGAUAUAGACGUCGCGGUUUUGCAACCCCCAUCUGCUAUUUUGGGUUGGGUUUGGACUUCAAUUUUUAGGCCGAAACAAAAUCCAGACCAGCCCGAGGAUGGUACUCACGCACAAAUUUGUAGCAUUGUUAACCCGAGCUUGGGCAUGCCUAUACCUCGCUUAGAGCAUCUACAGCCGGCCUUGACAAAUUUUAACCUCUCAAACAUUCACGGAUGUGCCUUGUCGUUGUCUACACGUGUCUGUUUGAGUCCCUGUUUGUCCGUGCACAUAACCAUGAUCCAUUUUUCCCUAUAUAUUCGGUCACAUGCGUGUGAUUGGUGGGGAUGAAAAGAGAAAGAGUAGAAAGAGCAAAGAAAGAAAAAAGGUGGUCUGCGGUGUGUCAAAUUCUAUGUGGCACAUGCUGAACCACUAACCGAACACGCCCGGGUACUCCUCAUAUUGCCCUUAUAUAUGGGUUAAGUAUGAGGAGUGCUGGAAAGCCCGGACGUUUGACGAAGCUUUGAGGGGUCCGGUUCAGUCAACUCUCAAGUGUGGUCAGUGGUUUUGUGUUCGCCUAAUCAAUUUGAGUAGUCCGAUUUAUGGAUACUCUUGGCAUGAGCCUCUCCGAGCGCUCGCCUGAAGCGCGCGAGAAUGAGUUGGCCCAACGGCGGGCACAUCCUUGGCGAUCAAUUAACAGAUGAGGUUUUGGAGCAAUAAACAAGCGGAGAAUACCUGAAGGGUGGAAUCAGAAUAAUAUUGUGUUGAUCCCUAAGGUGGAAAGUCCAAAGGUAAUUACCCAGUACCGGACUAUUAACUUGUGCAAUGUGAUCUAUAAAAUUAUUCCAAAAUGAUAGCUAAUAGGCUCAAGAAAAUAUGUCCUGAAGUUAUCGCUCCAACCCAGAGUGCCUUUGUGCCAGGCAUACUAAUUACAGAUAAUGUGUUGGUGGCACAUGAAUAUUUUCAUGCAAUAAAGAAGAAAAUCCAUGGGUCUAAUGGGUAUUGUGCAGUUAAACUCGACAUGUUAAAGGCAUAUCAUCGGGUUGAAUGAAAUUUCCUGGAGCAAAUUAUGUUGAAGCUUGGCUUUCAUACUUACUGGUUUGAGAUGGUUAUGGCAUAUGUAUCAUCGGUGAAUUACAGAGUAAGAUUUAAUGGCACAGAAGCUGAUGAGUUUUUACCCACGAGAGGUCUAAGGCAGGGUGACCCCUUGUCUCCCUAUCUUUUUCUGCUUUGUUCUGAAGGACUGUCUAGUUUGUUGGCUCAUGAAGAGGAAGUGGGUGCACUAGAAGGUAUCCGUGUUUGUAGAAAUGCUCCAUCUAUAUCUCACCUUCUUUUUAUAGAUGACUCAUUGAUCCUUAUGAAAGCGACUAUUCAGAAUGCAAACACUUUGAAGAGAGUGUUGGAUUCUUAUUGUGCAAGCUCUGGACAACUUGUGAGUAUGGCAAAAUUAAGCAUAUUUUUUAGUCCUAUCGCAAAUGUCAAUCCCAGGGAACAUGCCUGCAGGAGUGUUGAUAUCAUGAUUGAAGCAUUGUCAGAUAAAUAUAUUUGCCUCCCCACUAUUGUGGGAGUGGAUAGAAGUGAUUGUUUUCACCAUCAAAUUGAUCAAAUUUGUCAAAGACUGAAAGGUUGGAAGGAGAAGGUCUUAUCCAUCCAAGGAAAAUAAAUCUUAAUAAAGGCAGUGGCUCAAGCAAUCCCCUCAUAUACUAUGCCUGUUUUCAAAUUGCCUAAAGGGAUAUGCAAAACGAUAACCGAUGAGAUUGAAGGUUUUUGGUGGGGAGAUAGUGAGGAGAAAAAGAAAAUGCACUGGUUUGCGUGGUGAAAAUUGUGCACCCAAAAAGGAAUGGAGGCUUGGGGUUUAGAGACCUACACAGUUUUAACCUUGCUUUACUAGCAAAACAAUGUUGGCGACUACUCCAGAAUCUAGACUCUUUGUGUGCAAAAGUUCUUAGUGCAAAAUGCUACCCAGAUGGAGAUAUACUCAAUGCAGUCCCUAAGAAGGGUUCUUUUUUUACAUGGCAAAGUAUUAGCGCAGGCAUACAGACAUUCAAAAGGGGAUGCAUUUGGGGGGUGGGCAUUGAAUCACAGAUUAAUAUCUGGGACGAUCAUUGGAUUCCAACCUAGUGAAUCUAGGAAGGUCAGCACACCAAGAGGAACAAAUAUGUUAGGGAAAGUAGAAGAAUUGACUGAUCCACACACUGCCCAAUGGGAUUAAGCUCUUAACGUUCUGUGUUCUCACCCGUCGAUGUUCACAGAAUAUUACAAAUACCACUUCGGUGGAAGUGAUGGAUGAUUUUGUAGCUUGGCAUCACAGUCGUUCUGGUACUUUCUUGGUACGAUCAACAUAUAUUGUUGAAUUUGAACUCCAAUUUGGACACCAUUGGAACCACGGUAAUGGAACAAGUAGUUACCAAGAAUGUGACUCGUGGAAAAAUAUUUGUAGCCUUAAGAUACCAGGGAAGGUUAAACUCUUUGUGUGAAAGUGCUUCGUGAGGUACUACCGUGUCUAGUAGCACUAGCUGGUACACAUAUCCCAACUUCUACACAAUGCCCAAACUGUCAUAUUGGGUUUGAAGAUUCACAGCACUGCCUAUUCACUUGCAAGCGAGCGUUGGAGGUCUGGACCCAACUAGGGCUAGCUCGCGAUGACCAUGGGGAGUUUGUAGCUGCAGCUGUGUGGUUUAUGCCGCAUGUCAUAAGUGCAGGAGUGAUGGAGAUGGCGGUGAUCCGGAAUGGAUUUUACUUGGCUGGCAACAUUGGCUGCAAUUUGGUGAAAAUCGAAUCGGAUAGCUCCAACAUUGUUGAAGCAAUCAAUCAAGAUGUUUAUUUAGGCCCAGAUGCAGCUGUGUUUUCUGAAUGUAAAGCUCUUAUUGCAGGCCUAACAAAGGUGGACGUGAUCAAUUGUUUCCGCGAAGCCAACAGUGUAGCAGGUAGCUUAGCAAAAUACUCCUUUAGUAAUAGAUCGUCUAAGGUUUGGGAUAGCUCAAUUCCGAACUUUAUUUCUCAUCUCAUUGUACAUGAUAUGUCUAUUACCUGAGGAAUAAAGUUCUUUACCCGUAAAAAAAUGUUGAUUCAAGCGCCUAGAAUAAUGAUUUGCUCCUUUUUUUGUAAACAGGAUCACCCGCGAUUUCAUUAACAAAACCAUAUAUCAUUGUUAUUACAGCCAAAACACUCAUCUUAGUUCAACAUCCUCUCGACUCUCCAAAAAAACAAAAUCUCACUAGUCUGUUCUCAAUCAGGACAUAGACUAGAUGAGAUGGAACAAACCGAGGAAUUAAAACCUAUGACACCAUAUCCUCAGAUAUUACAGGGUAGGCUUUUCCUCUUCAACGGUACUUCAUAAUCCACUCUUGCUCAGCCUUCAAUCAUUGGAAUCCAAGAUGACCGUCCUCUUCGUGCUUGGAAGAUCUCACCGGUGACUCAUUCCAGCAGCUUUGCGCCCUGUUGUAGUUCCACCUUUUUUUUCCUCCUUCACCUGCAAAAUACUGCAGUCAUUAAUCCAAUGUGCCAUCUUGAACAUCACACACUAGGAUCAGCAGGCCAAAUAUGUUGGUAACAAGCUAAAUUCCUAGUUUUCCAAAUACUCCAGAUUAAAGUUGCCACUCCAACGAAAAUAAACUUCUUCUUGUCAGAUCUAAAACCUCCCAACCAAGUAUAACAUGCAUCCAUGCUGUAAAAGUUGCACUGUACUCCUGUGAUAUGACUCACAACACUCCACAUGUAUCUAGCCAGAGAGCAUUCGAAAAAAAGAUGAUAAAUGGUCUCCUUGUUUCCACAGAACAAGCACCAUUUCUCACAUUUUCCUCCUCUGUAAAACAGAACAUCUCUGGUUAGUAUACUUCUUUUAGUAACUAAUCAAAUGAAAGUUUCGAUUCUAGGUGGUAUUUUAACUUUCCAUAAGAACCUUUUUGGACAUUUAUCUCCAAAUUGCAACAUAGAGUAAAAGGAUUUGACACUAUAUUCUCUUGAUACCUCAAGUAUCCAGGAGAGUUUAUCAUCAUCUUUAUUUAAAAUGGUUCCUUUACAUAUCUCCAAUAACGUCUGCCACUGUAUCACUUUUUCCCUUGUUAACACUCUACGGAAUUUUAAUCCAGUGAGUCUAGAGGAGAAGACAGCCGAGACAGUAACAUUGUGACAAAGGGAGAUGUUAUACAAAUCUGGAAAGAUUACUACCAGACUACUAGGUCCUGACUAGUUAUCUUCCCAGAAUCUAGUUCUCCCCCAUUUCCCCCUUUAAAUUUACAACGGGACAAGAAAAGUAUUUUACAAUUCAACACUCCUUGCCAAAAGUGUGAAUCCCCUUGCUUCUUUUGGACCCCCCCCAAAGUGUUUCUCCCAAUAUAAUUUUCCCACAAACCUUUUUCAUUGAAAAGUUUCCAAAGCCACAUUGAAAGCAGGGCAAUGUUCAUCACUUCUAAAUCUAAAAUCCCCAGGCCUCCCAGGGUGUUAGGUCUACAAACUUUUUCCCAUGCCACCAAAUGAUAUGUUUGUUUUUCUCUCCACUCCAUAGAAAAUUUGCCCUAGGUCUGACCAUUUUUAUCUUUAUUCCUUUUGGGACUUCAUAAAAGGAAAGCAUAAAAAGUACUAGACUGAUCAGGGAAGAAUUUAUCAAGGUGGUUCUGCCAGAAAUAUUUAAUAGUCUACCUAACCAAGUCCCCAUUUUCUUGUCCAUUUUGUUAAUGGAUGGGUUCCAAUCACUUCCCUUCAAUCUUUUUUCAUCUAUAGGUAUCCCGAGAUAUUUGAAAGGCAAAGCACCUUUCUUGCAUGUUAGAAUUUCUUCAAAAAAUUUAACUCUGUCCUCAUUCAUCCCAAUGCCGAUCACUUCACUCUUAUGAAAGUUAAUUUUUAAUCCGGACAUAAUCUCAAGCUGGUUUAGAAUUUUCUUGACAUUUUUGGCUUGUUCCAAAUCAUCUUGGAAUAAAUGAUAGUGUCAUCUGCACAUUGCAAAAUAGACACGUCAUUUUCCUUAUGAUUCUUAGCAAGUCCCCUAAUUAUAUUUUUAUCCACAACUCUAUCAAACAAUACUGCCAAAAUAUCAAUUGUUGUAUCAAAAAGCAAAGGAGACAUUGAGCCCCCCUGCCUUAAACCUUGGUAAGUUUUAAAAAAUGGACCCACUUCUCCAUUUACCUUAACAUAUACUCUCCCCCCAGUCACUGUCUUCAUUAUCCAAUUGAUCAUUUUAUCACAGAAUUUUUUCAUCUUAAGUGUAUGAAAUAGAAAAGGCCAUUUAACCUUGUCAAAGGCCUUUUCAAAAUCAAUUUUAAAGAGGACCCCUGACUUUUUGGCUUUGUGCAUAGAAUUCAAGGUUUCGUGCAACACCAGCACCCCCUCCAAAAUAUAUCUCCCUUCGAUAAAGGCAGUUUGAGAUGCCCUAAUCAUCCUAGAUAUCACCUUUAUGUUGGAAAUAUGCCCUAGAGGCAAUAAUAAAAGUGUUAUUAUUAUAUUUCUUUGUUCAUGAUAAUAGUCUUUUAUUCAUGAUAUAACUGUAUUAUCCGGAAAUCGUAAUACACGUGUGAAUACAUAGACCACAAUAUGUCCCUAGUAAGCCUCUAGUUGACUAGCUCGUUGUGAUCAACAGAUAGUCAUGGUUUCCUGGCUAUGGACAUUGGAUGUCGUUGAUAACGGGAUCACAUCAUUAGGAGAAUGAUGUGAUGGACAAGACCCAAUCCUAAGCAUAGCACAAUUGUCGGUUAGUUCGUUUGCUAGAGCUUUUCCAAUGUCAAGUAUCUCUUCCUUCGACCAUGAGAUCGUGUAACUCCUGGAUACCGUAGGAAUGCUUUGGGUGUAUCAAACAUCACAACGUAAAUGGGUGACUAUAAAGGUGCACUACAGGUAUCUCCGAAAGUGUCUAUUGGGUUGACACAGAUCGAGACUGGGAUUUGUCACUCCGUAUGACGGAGAGGUAUCUCUGGGCCCACUCGGUAAUGCAUCAUCAUAAUGAGCUCAAGGUGACCAAGGUGUUGGCCACGGGAUCAUGCAUUACAGUACGAGUAAAGUGACUUGCCGGUAACGAGACUGAACAAGGUAUUGGGAUACCGACGAUCGAGUCUCGGGCAAGUAACGUACCGAUUGACAAAGGGAAUUGUAUAUGGGGUUUGAUCGAAUCCUCGACAUCGUGGUUCAUCCGAUGACUUCAUCGAGGAGCAUGUGGGAGCCAACAUGGGUAUCCAGAUCCCGCUGUUGGUUAUUGACCAGAGAGUCUCGGUCAUGUCUGCAUGUCUCCCGAACCCGUAGGGUCUACACACUUAAGGUUCGGUGAUGCUAGGGUUAUCAGGAAGACAAGUAUGUGAUUACCGAAUGUUGUUCGGAGUCCCGGAUGAGAUCCCGGACGUCACGAGGAGUUCCGGAAUGGUCCGGAGGUAAAGUUUUAUAUAUGGGAAGUUGUUGAACGAGCACCGAAAAGUUUCGGGGUCAUACCGGUAUUGUACCGGGACCACCGGAAAGGUUCCGGGGGUCCACCGGGAGGGACCACCCCUCCCGGGGGCCACUUGGGCUACGUAUGGAUAGCAGCCAGCCCCUAGUGGGCUUGGCGCCCCCCCCCCUUGGGCCCAUGCGCCUAGGGUUGGGGGGGAAACCCUAAAGGGGGCGCACCCCCCUUGCUUGGGGGGCAAGCCCCCCACCCCUUGGCCGCCGCCCCCCCUAGGGUUUUCCCUAGAGGGCUGGACCCCCUUGCCCCUUCCCCUAUAUAUAGAGGGGUGAGGGGAGGGCUGCAACACACCACAACUCAAGGCGCAGCCCCUCCCCUCCCCAACACCUCUCCUCCUCCGUACGUGCUUGGCGAAGCCCUGUCGGAACACUGCCGCACCAACUGCACCACGCCGUCGUGCUGCCGUUGGAGCUGCCUUCCUUAACCUCUCCUUCCUCCUUGAUGGAUCAAGACAGAGGAGACGUCUCCCGUCCCGUACGUGUGUUGAACGCGGAGGUGCUGUCCGUUCAGCACUAGGACAUCGGUGAUCCGAAUCACGUUCGAGUACGACUCCAUCAUCACCAUCCCCUUGGCAAGCUUCCGCUCGUGAUCUACAAGUGGUAUGUAGAUGCAAACUCUCUCCCUUGACUCGUUGCUUAGAUGAACUCAUAGAUGGAUCUUGGUGAAACCGUAGGAAAAAUUUUAAUUUUCUGCAACGUUCCCCAACAGUGGCAUCAUGAGCUAGGUCUAUGCGUAGUUCUCUUUGCACGAGUAGAACACAAUUUUGUUGUGGGCGUGGAUCUUGUCAACUUGCUUGCCUCUACUAGUCUUUUCUUGCUUCAGCGGCAUUGUGGGAUGAAGCGGCCCGGACCAACCUUACACGUACGCUUACGUGAGACCGGUUCCACCGAUUAACAUGCACUAGUUGCAUAAGGUGGCUGGCGGGUGUCUGUCUCUCCCACUUUAGUUGGAGCGGAUUCGAUGAAAAGGGCCCUUAUGAAGGGUAAAUAGAAGUUGACAAAAUCACGUUGUGGUUAUUCGUAGGUAAGAAAACGUUCUUGCUAGAACCCAAUUGCAGCCAUGUAAAAGAUGCAACAACAAUUAGAGGACGUCUAACUUGUUUUUGCAGCGAUUGAUCAUGUUAUGUGAUAUGGCCAGAAGUUGUGAUGAAUGAUGAAUUGUGAUGUAUGAGAUCAUGUUCUUGUAAUAGGAUUCACGACUUGCAUGUCGAUGAGUAUGACAACCGGCAGGAGCCAUAGGAGUUGUCUUUAUUUUUGUAUGACCUGCGUGUCAUUGAAGAACACCAUGUAACUUACUUUACUUUAUUGCUAAACGCGUUAGUCAUAGAAGUAGAAGUAGUCGUUGGCGUGACAACUUCAUGAAGACACGAUGAUGGAGAUCAUGAUGAUGGAGAUCAUGGUGUCAUGCCGGUGACAAGAUGAUCAUGGAGCCCCGAAGAUGGAGAUCAAAGGAGCUAUAUGAUAUUGGCCAUAUCAUGUCACUACUUUAUAUAAUUGCAUGUGAUGUUUAUUAUGUUUUAUGCAUCUUGUUUACUUAGGACGACGGUAGUAAAUAAGAUGAUCCCUUACAAAAUUUCAAGAAGUGUUCUCCCCUAACUGUGCACCGUUGCUACAGUUCAUCGCUUCUAAGCACCACGUGAUGAUCGGGUGUGAUGGAUUCUUACGUUGACAUACAACGGGUGUAAGACAGUUUUACACAGCGAAAACACUUAGGGUUAACUUGACGAGCCUAGCAUGUGCAGACAUGGCCUUGGAACACGGAGACCGAAAGGUCAAACACGAGUCGUAUGGAAGAUACGAUCAACAUGAAGAUGUUCACCGACGAUGACUAGUCCGUCUCACGUGAUGAUCAGACACGGGCUAGUCGACUCGGAUCGUGUAACACUUAGAUGACUAGAGGGAUGUCUAAUCUAAGUGGGAGUACAGAAUUUGAUUAGAACUUAAUUAUCAUGAACUUAGUCUAAAACCUUUGCAAAUAUGUCUUGUAGAUCAAAUGGCCAACGCUCAUGUCAACAUGAACUUCAACGCGUUCCUAGAGAAAACCAAGCUGAAAGAUGAUGGCAGCAACUAUACGGACUGGGUCCGGAACCUGAGGAUCAUCCUCAUAGCUGCCAGGAAACAAUAUGUCCUAGAAGGACCGCUAGGUGACACUCCCGUCCCAGAGAACCAAGACAUUAUUAAUGCUUGGCAGUCUCGUGCUGAUGAUUACUCCCUCGUUCAGUGCGGCAUGCUUUACAGCUUAGAACCGGGGCUCCAAAAGCGUUUUGAGCAUCACGGAGCAUAUGAGAUGUUCGAAGAGCUGAAACUAGUUUUUCAAGCUCACGCCCGGGUCGAGAGAUAUGACAUCUCCGACAAGUUCUAUAGUUGUAAGAUGGAGGAAAAUAGUUCUGUCAGUGAGCACAUACUCAAGAUGUCUGGGUUGCACAACCGUAUGACCUAGCUGAAUAUUAACCUCCCUGAUGAGGCAGUCAUUGACAGAAUCCUUCAGUCGCUCCCACCAAACUACAAGAGCUUUGUGAUGAACUACAAUAUGCAGGGGAUGGUAAAGACCAUUCCUGAAGUAUUUUCUAUGCUGAAGUCAGCAGAGGUUGAAAUCAAGAAAGAACAUCAAGUGUUGAUGGUCAAUAAGACCACUAAGUUCAAGAAGGGCAAGGGUAAGAAGAACUUCAAGAAGGAUGGCAAAGAGGUUGCCGCGCCCGGUAAGCCAGUUGCCGGGAAGAAGUCAAAGAAUGGACCCAAGCCUGAAACUGAGUGCUUUUAUUGCAAGGGGAAGGGUCACUGGAAGCGGAACUGCCCCAAAUACUUAGCGGAUAAGAAGGCCGGCAACACCAAAGGUAUAUUUGAUAUACAUGUAAUUGAUGUGUACCUUACCAGUACUCGUAGUAACUCCUGGGUAUUUGAUACCGGUGCCGUUGCUCAUAUUUGUAACUCACAGCAGGAGCUGCGGAAUAAACGGAGACUGGCGAAGGACGAGGUGACGAUGCGCGUCGGGAAUGGUUCCAGAGUCGAUGUGAUCGCCGUCGGCACGCUGCCUCUACAUUUACCUACGGGAUUAGUUUUGAACCUUAAUAAUUGUUAUUUAGUGCCAAGUUUGAGCAUGAACAUUGUAUCUGGAUCUCGUUUAAUACGAGAUGGCUACUCAUUUAAGUCUGAGAAUAAUGGUUGUUCGAUUUAUAUGAGAGAUAUGUAUUAUGGUCAUGCUCCGAUGGUCAAUGGUUUAUUCUUAAUGAAUCUCGAGCGUAAUAUUACACAUGUUCAUAGUGUAGAUGCCAAAAGAUGUAAAGUUGAUAACGAUAGUCCCACAUACUUGUGGCACUGCCGCCUUGGUCACAUUGGUGUGAAGCGCAUGAAGAAGCUCCAUGCUGAUGGACUUUUAGAGUCUCUUGAUUAUGAAUCAUUUGACACAUGCGAACCAUGCCUCAUGGGAAAAAUGACCAAGACUCCGUUCUCCAGAACAAUGGAGCGAGCAACCAACUUGUUGGAAAUCAUACAUACCGAUGUGUGCGGUCCAAUGAGCGUUGAGGCUCGCGGAGGAUAUCGUUAUGUUCUCACUCUCACUGAUGACUUAAGUAGAUAUGGGUAUGUCUACUUAAUGAAACACAAGUCUGAGACCUUUGAAAAGUUCAAGGAAUUUCAGAAUGAGGUGGAGAAUCAACGUGACCGAAAGAUAAAGUUCCUACGAUCAGAUCGUGGAGGAGAAUAUUUAAGUCACGAAUUUGGCACACACUUAAGGAAAUGUGGAAUCGUUUCACAACUCACGCCGCCUGGAACACCUCAGCGAAACGGUGUGUCCGAACAUCGUAAUCGCACUCUAUUGGAUAUGGUGCGGUCUAUGAUGUCUCUUACCGAUUUACCGCUAUCAUUUUGGGGAUACGCUCUAGAGACAGCUACAUUCACUUUAAAUAGGGCACCGUCUAAAUCCGUUGAGACGACACCGUAUGAAUUAUGGUUUGGGAAGAAACCUAAGCUGUCGUUUCUAAAAGUUUGGGGAUGCGAUGCUUAUGUCAAGAAACUUCAACCUGAAAAGCUCGAACCCAAGUCGGAAAAAUGCGUCUUCAUAGGAUACCCUAAGGAAACAGUAGGGUAUACCUUCUACUUAAGAUCUGAAGGCAAAUCUUUGUUGCCAAAAACGGAUGCUUUCUGGAAAAAGAGUUUCUCUCGAAAGAAGUAAGUGGGAGGAAAGUAGAACUCAAUGAAGUACUACCUCUCGAACGGGAAAGUGGUGCAGCUCAGGAAAAUGUUCCUGUGAUGCCCACACCAACUGAAGAGGAAACCAAUGAUGAUGAUCAAGGUACUUUAGAUCAAGUUGCUACUGAACUUUGUAGGUCCACAAGGACACGUUCCGCACCAGAGUGGUACGGCAACCCUGUCUUGGAAAUCAUGUUGUUAGACAACGGUGAACCUUCGAACUAUGAAGAAGCGAUGGCAGGCCCAGAUUCCAACAAAUGGCUAGAAGCCAUGAAAUCCGAGAUAGAAUCCAUGUAUGAAAACAAAGUAUGGACUUUGACUGACUUGCCCGAUGAUCGGCGAGCGAUAGAAAACAAAUGGAUCUUUAAGAAGAAGACGGACGCGGAUGGUAAUGUCACCAUCUAUAAAGCUGGACUUGUCGCUAAGGGUUAUCGACAAGUUCAAGGGAUUGACUACGACGAGACAUUCUCUCCCGUAGCGAAGCUUAAGUCCGUCCGAAUCAUGUUAGCAAUUGCCGCAUACUAUGAUUAUGAGAUAUGGCAGAUGGACGUCAAAACGGCAUUCCUUAACGGGCAUCUUAAGGAAGAGCUGUAUAUGAUGCAGCCGGAAGGUUUUGUCGAUCCUAAGAACGCUAACAAAGUAUGCAAGCUCCAGCGAUCCAUUUAUGGGCUGGUGCAAGCAUCUCAGAGUUGGAAUAUUCGCUUUGAUGAGAUGAUCAAAGCGUUUGGGUUUAUGCAGACUUAUGGAGAAGCCUGCGUUUACAAGAAAGUGAGUGGGAGCUCUGUAGCAUUUCUCAUAUUAUAUGUGGAUGACAUACUCUUGAUGGGAAAUAAUAUAGAAUUUCUGGACAGCAUUAAGGCCUACUUGAACAAAUGUUUUUCAAUGAAGGACCUUGGAGAAGCUGCUUAUAUAUUAGGCAUCAAGAUCUAUAGAGAUAGAUCGAGACGCCUCAUAGGUCUUUCACAAAGCACAUACCUUGAUAAGAUUUUGAAAAAGUUCAAAAUGGUUGAGUCCAAGAAAGGGUUCUUGCCUAUGUUACAAGGUGUGAGAUUGAGCCCAGCUCAGUCACCGACCACGACAAAAGAUAAAGAAGAGAUGAGUGUCAUCCCCUAUGCUUCAGCCAUAGGAUCUAUUAUGUAUGCCAUGAUGUGUACCAGACCUGAUGUAAACCUUGCCGUAAGUUUGGUAGCAAGAUACCAGAGUAAUCCCGGCAAGGAACACUGGACAUCGGUCAAGAAUAUCCUGAAGUACCUGAAAAGGACAAAGGACAUGUUUCUCGUUUAUGGAGGUGACGAAGAGCUCGUCGUAAAGGGUUACGUCGACGCUAGCUUCGACACAGAUCUGGAUGACUCUAAGUCACAAACCGGAUACGUGUAUAUGUUGAAUGGUGGAGCAGUAAGCUGGUGCAGCUGCAAGCAGAGCGUCGUGGCGGGGUCUACAUGUGAAGCGGAGUACAUGGCAGCCUCGGAGGCAGCGCAUGAAGCUAUUUGGGUGAAGGAGUUCAUCACCGACCUAGGAGUCAUACCCAAUGCGUCGGGGCCAAUCAAACUCUUCUGUGACAACACUGGAGCUAUUGCCCUUGCCAAGGAGCCCAGGUUUCACAAGAAGACCAGGCACAUCAAGCGUCGUUUCAACUUCAUCCGUGAAAAUGUUCAAGAUGGAGACAUAGAAAUUUGCAAAGUACAUACGGAUCUGAAUGUCGCAGAUCCGUUGACUAAACCUCUCUCGCGAGCAAAACAUGAUCAACACCAGAACUCUAUGGGUGUUCGAUUCAUCACAAUGUAACUAGAUUAGUGACUCUAGUGCAAGUGGGAGACUGUUGGAAAUAUGCCCUAGAGGCAAUAAUAAAAGUGUUAUUAUUAUAUUUCUUUGUUCAUGAUAAUAGUCUUUUAUUCAUGCUAUAACUGUAUUAUCCGAAAAUCGUAAUACACGUGUGAAUACAUAGACCACAAUAUGUCUCUAGUAAGCCUCUAGUUGACUAGCUCGUUGUGAUCAACAGAUAGUCAUGGUUUCCUGGCUAUGGACAUUGGAUGUCGUUGAUAACGGGAUCACAUCAUUAGGAGAAUGAUGUGAUGGACAAGACCCAAUCCUAAGCAUAGCACAAAGGUCGGUUAGUUCGUUUGCUAGAGCUUUUCCAAUGUCAAGUAUCUCUUCCUUCGACCAUGAGAUCGUGUAACUCCUGGAUACCGUAGGAAUGCUUUGGGUGUAUCAAACGUCACAACGUAACUGGGUGACUAUAAAGGUGCACUACAGGUAUCUCCGAAAGUGUCUAUUGGGUUGACACGGAUUGAGACUGGGAUUUGUCACUCCGUAUGACGGAGAGGUAUCUCUGGGCCCACUUGGUAAUGCAUCAUCAUAAUGAGCUCAAGGUGACCAAGGUGUUGGCCACGGGAUCAUGCAUUAUGGUACGAGUAAAGUGACUUGCCGGUAACGAGACUGAACAAGGUAUUGGGAUACCGACGAUCGAGUCUCGGGCAAGUAACGUACCGAUUGACAAAGGGAAUUGUAUACGGGGUUUGAUCGAAUCCUCGACAUCGUGGUUCAUCCGAUGACUUCAUCGAGGAGCAUGUGGGAGCCAACAUGGGUAUCCAGAUCCCGCUGUUGGUUAUUGACCGGAGAGUCUCGGUCAUGUCUGCAUGUCUCCCGAACCCGUAGGGUCUACACACUUAAGGUUCGGUGACGCUAGGGUUAUCAGGAAGACAAGUAUGUGAUUACCGAAUGUUGUUCGGAGUCCCGGAUGAGAUCCCGGACGUCAUGAGGAGUUCCCGAAUGGUCCGGAGGUAAAGUUUUAUAUAUGGGAAGUUGUUAAACGGGCACCGGAAAGUUUCGGGGUCAUACCGGUAUUGUACCGGGACCACCGGAAAGGUUCCGGGGGUCCACCGGGAGGGACCACCCCUCCCGGGGGGCCACUUGGGCUGCGUAGGGAUAGCAGCCAGCCCCUAGUGGGCUUGGCGCGCCCCCCCUUGGGCCCAUGCGCCUAGGGUUGGGGGGGGGAAACCCUAAAGGGGGCGCACCCCCCUUGCUUGGGGGGCAAGCCCCCCACCCCUUGGCCGCCGCCCCCCUAGGGUUUUCCCUAGAGGGCCGGCCCCCCUUGCCCCUUCCCCUAUAUAUAGAGGGGUGAGGGGAGGGCUGCAACACACCACAACUCAAGGCGCAGCCCCUCCCCUCCCCAACACCUCUCCUCCUCCGUACGUGCUUGGCGAAGCCCUGUCGGAAUACUGCCGCACCAACUGCACCACGCCGUCGUGCUGCCGUUGGAGCUGCCUUCCUCAACCUCUCCUUCCUCCUUGCUGGAUCAAGACGGAGGAGACGUCUCCCGUCUCGUACGUGUGUUGAACACGGAGGUGUUGUCCGUUCAGCACUAGGACAUCGGUGAUCCGAAUCACGUUUGAGUACGACUCCAUCAUCACCAUCCCCUUGGCAAGCUUCCGCUCGUGAUCUACAAGUGGUAUGUAGAUGCAAACUCUCUCCCUUGACUCGUUGCUUAGAUGAACUCAUAGAUGGAUCUUGGUGAAACCGUAGGAAAAAUUUUAAUUUUCUGCAACGUUCCCCAACACUUUAUAAGUCUACUCACCAAAAUUUUAGUGAAAUUUUUAAAUAUCACAUUUAGCAAACAUAUGAGUCUGUACUUCUUAGUUCUAUCUGCAUCACUUCCUUUUGGUAUGAGGGAGAUUAUUCCAUAAUUUAACCUGUCUAGGUCUAAAUCAUGUUCAUAAAAUUCCUCCAACAUCGCAAAUAAAUCAUCUUUGACUAGGUCCCAAUAGUGUUGAUAAAAUUCAAUGUUAAAACCAUCCGGGCCCGGACUUUGUUUUUCUCCAUUCCAAAUAUUGCAUUCUUCAUUUCCUCCAUUGUAAAUUUCUUGAUGAGAAAUUCUCUCUCUUCCUCAGUGAGUGUUUCAACACCACUAGAGUCAAUUAUUAGAGUUUUAAUCUCAGGUUCACUAAAAAGGUCUUUAUAGAACUUAGUAAUACACUCCUUUAGAUUCUGUUGCCCUUCAAUCACCCCUUCAUCUUAUAUCAACUUAACAAUUCUACUUUUCCUAAACCUCCCAUUUGCCUUAACAUGAUAGUAUCUUGUAUUAGAAUCUCCCUCAAACAAAGGGCCAGUUCUUUUGGGCGAUUCUCCCAGAAUCGCCCCUCUCCCCAGCUUCUCCCAGAAUCACCACUUCAUAUUUUUUUUACAAUCCUAGCUAAUUAGACCUUAACUAGAUAGGAUUGUAAAAAAAAUAUGAAGUGACGAUUCUGGGAAAAGCUGGGAAGGGGGGCGAUUCUGGGAGAAUCGUCCAAAAAAACUGGGCAGUAUCAUGAGAUCUUUGCAUCCAUUUCAAUUCCUCUUCUUUUAGGAUUUUUUUAAACUAGUUUGGCAGAUUUUUUUAUACUCUCUCUCUCUCUCUCUAAUCCCAUCAAAAUCCCUUCCUCUUCUUUUUUAUCAAGUCUGUCUAUUUCUUCACCCAACUUCUUUUUCGUUUCCUCAAAUUUGCUUCAAAAUUCAAAUUCCAUCCCUUCAAGACCUUCCUCAUUUCUUUCAUCUUAUUAUGGAAAAAACUACUCCCUCCGUUCUGAAUUAUUUGUCACACGUAUGAAUGUAUCUAGAUGUAUUUUAGUUUUAGAUACAUUCAUUUCAGCGACGAGUAAUUUGGAACAGAGGGAGUAUGAUUUAAAAGCCAAGAAGAAAUCCCGUAAGAAGUGUUUUGUUUCUUCUGCAUAAAAAUUUCGCGAGAAAUCACGUCUCCUACUGGAGUCACGGGACGCUCUCGUCAUCUUGUCCGUAGAGCGUCUAGGUGCUCUGUACGAAGCACCGCACCGCAAUCCACUCACUCUUAGACUGUAUUUACAUGUGUAUAUUGUAACAUUGUAUACCACCUCAUUAUAUAUAUAUAUAUGUGAUAGGCCACCCCUAGAGGGUUGUGCCGGUUCCCCCCAAAGCCUAUUGUCUUACAUGGUAUCACACUAGGUUACGUCCGCUUCCGCCUAAAAACUCUAAACCGCCGCCGCCGCCGCCGCCGCCGCGCCCGCCAUCGCCGUCGCCCGACUGCUAUGACGUCCGCCGCUGCGUCCGGCUCCACCGCCACCGGUUUUCUGCCGGCCUCCCUCACGGCACUUCUCUCGAGGCCGCUGGAUGCCGCCUCCCUUCAGGCGCCGAUCGGGACAUGGAGCGUCGGCUCCCUUUUCGCGCUCCCGCCGGCUGCUACUUCGCCCGGGCAGACGCUUGUGGCCCACACCGCCGCCGCCCCGUCAACCGCGGCUGUCGCGCCCUCGGCCACUGCGCCGCUGGUGGCGGAGGACGUCGCGCUGGCAGGCUUCGCGGCGUCAACCGCGGCCAUCGCGCCCUCUGUCACCGCGCCGGCUGCCCCUCUGACUGUCUCCACGGUGGUCUCACCUCAGCCAGUCUCCUCGAUGGGAUCGCAGCCGCCGCCGCCGUUUCACUUCGGCCAUCUCAUCACCAUCAAGUUGUCGUCGGACAAUUACAUCUUCUGGCGCGCGCAGGUUCUUCCGCUUCUUGGGAGUCACUAUCUGCUUGGCUAUGUUGACGGCUCUCUCCCUUGCCCUCCUGCGCUGGUUGACAGCGUGCACGGUCCGGUCUAUAAUCCGGCUCACCGUGUCUGGACAGGGCAGGAUCAGGCGAACCUCUCCUCCAUCCAGGGGUCGCUCUCUCCGGCCGUUGCUGGGCUUGUUGUCUUCGCCAAGACGUCCCACGAGGCAUGGACUAUUCUUGAGCGCUCGUUUGCGGCACAGUCGCAGGCUCGUGUAUCUGGGCUCCGUCGCCAACUUGGGGAGUGUCAGAAGCUUGACUCCACCGCCACUGAGUUCUACAACAAAGUCAAGAGUCUCGCCGACACGCUGGCCUCCAUUGGACAGCCCCUCACCGACUCUGAGUUCAACUCGUUUAUUGUCAAUGGUCUUGAUGAGGAGUAUGACGCCCUAGUCGAGAUCAUCAAUGAGAGAGGCAACUCCACGCCCAUGCCAGCACACGAGGUCUUUUCACGCCUCCUGCUUACUGAGCAACGAGUCGAGACGCGCCGAUCCAGGGGCAACGGCGCCCUCUCGGCAAACGCCACCACCAAGGGUGGUCGCUCCUCUGCUUCAUCCAGGGCUCCUUCGGGGCAGUCACCACCACCCGCCUCGGCCCCUCCUCCUACUGCGACGCUACCAGGGGUUGGCGGUCCACGUGUGUGCCAGCUUUGUGGUCGCGAUGGGCACUGGGCCUCGAAGUGUCACAAGCGCUUCCAGCGGGGUUUUCUUGGUCUCGGCAAUGACGGGAAGGAUACACGCAACUUUGCUCGUCAGGUCGCCAUGGCUGAUCGUCCGCCGCCGCAGAAGCCACAGGGACACACUCAGUCCUACUCCAUUGAUCCCCACUGGUACAUGGACUCUGGGGCGACAGAGCACCUGACCAGUGAGAUGGGGAAGCUUCACACUCGUGAACCCUACCAUGGCUCCGACAAGAUCCACACCGCCAAUGGAGCAGGUAUGCACAUCUCUCAUAUUGGUCAAGCAUCACUUCUCACUAGACAUGCCAAUAGGAGUCUUCAACUUCGCAAUGUUCUUCGAGUUCCAUCUGUGACACGUAAUCUUCUUUCAGUUCCUAAACUCACUCGUGAUAAUAAUGUGCUUUGUGAAUUUCAUCCUUUUAAUCUUUUUAUUAAGGAUCGGGGCACGAGGGACAUUCUUCUUAGUGGGCGGCUCUGCCAAGGUCUCUAUCGUCUGGAGCAUCCUGGCGUCGCUCGCGUCUUCAGUGGAGUUCGGGUAUCUCCGUCACAGUGGCAUGCUCGUCUUGGUCACCCGGCCACACCUAUUGUCCGGCAUGUUUUGCGUCGUCAUGAGCUUCCUAGUGUGUCUAGUAAUAAAGAUGUAGCAGUGUGUGAUGCUUGUCAGCAGGGGAAGAGUCAUCAACUUCCUUUUUCGGAGUCCAGUCGUGAGGUGAAACAUCCUUUAGAACUUGUGUUUUCAGAUGUAUGGGGUCCUGCUCAGACUUCUGUUAGUGGUCAUAAUUAUUAUAUCAGUUUUGUUGAUGCUUACAGCCGCUUUACCUGGCUUUAUCUUAUCAAACGUAAAUCUGAUGUGUUUGACAUUUUUGUUCAGUUCCAAAAACAUGUUGAACGCCUUCUCAAGCACAAAAUUGUUCAUGUUCAGUCGGACUGGGGUGGCGAGUAUCGCAACCUCAACUCCUUCUUUCAGUCGCUUGGGAUCACUCACCGUUUAGCAUGUCCACAUACACAUCAGCAGAAUGGUUCAGUAGAACGUAAGCAUCGUCACAUUGUUGAAGCUGGUCUGACUCUUUUGGCCCAUGCAUCUGUUCCGUUUCGUUUUUGGAGUGAUGCUUUCACCACUGCAUGUUUUCUCAUCAAUCGUACUCCCACUCGUGUUUUGAAUAUGAAGACUCCCAUUGAAGUUCUCCUUAAUGAACAACCGGACUACACCUUUCUCAAGGUGUUUGGGUGUGCUUGCUGGCCCCAUCUCUGUCCAUAUAACAAGCGUAAGCUCGAGUUUCGUUCCAAGAAGUGUGUUUUUCUUGGUUAUAGCUCUCUUCAUAAAGGAUACAAAUGUCUUCAUGUGCCCACUAAUCGUGUCUACAUCUCUCGGGAUGUUGCGUUUGAUGAGCAUGUUUUUCCCUUUGCCAAACUCCCUGUGUCCACUACCGAGCCACCUGUCAUGCAUUCAUCCUCUGUUGCUUCUGACCAAUUUGAUGAUGUUGCAUAUUCUCCUCUAUUGUUGCCUAACCAUGGUGCAGUCACUGGUCGUGGGGCUCGUUUGGAGAUUCUGGAAGUGAAAUCUUCCUCUUCGUUGCCAUCGCCUUCAUCCUCGGCACCUUCUGUUGUGCAUGAGGAGCACAUGGCGCCCCUGCAUGGCCUCGGUUUCCGUGCUCAUGCACGGCCGAUCGACGUCCUGGCUCGGUCGCCUCUGGCUUCUGGGCUGCCUUCGCCAUCGUCGCGCCCUGCAACCCCGCCGACUGGGCCGGCCUCCUCGGUCCCCGUCUCGCCCAGGGCGUCGGGGCAGUCAUCACCAGGCCUGGCCUCGCCCGCCCCUGCCUCGCCCAGGGUGUCUGGGCCCUUCUCAUCAGGGCCGGCCUCGCCUGCUCUCGCCUCGCCAAGGCCGUCUGGGCCGGUGUCACCGGAGCUGGCCUCGCCCACUCUCGGUUCGCCCAUGGCCUCUGAGCCCCUGUCGUCGGGCCAGUCUUCGCCAUGCAGCCCGGAGUCGUCUGUCCCGAGCUCGCCUGAGGUGAUUCCUGCAUCUCCGGCGACCGUCACGUCUCCGUCACCUUCGCCUCCGCCGGCUCCUGCUGCUGCUUUACGUCCACAUACGCGCAGUCGGAGUGGCAUUUUUCAGCCUAAGCAACGUCACGAUGGCACAGUUGCUUGGUUAGCGGCGUGCAUGUCUGCUGCUCUCGCAGAUCCAUCCUCUGAGCCACGCACGUAUCAAGCUGCUAUGCGCAUUCCUCAUUGGAGAGAGGCCAUGGAGCAGGAGUAUCAAGCGCUUCUUCGCAAUCAGACAUGGACUCUUGUUCCUCCACAAUCACGGGUAAAUGUCAUUGAUUCCAAAUGGGUUUUCAAAGUGAAGAGGCAUUCUGAUGGGUCCAUUGAGCGCUAUAAGGCUCGUCUGGUUGCUCGUGGUUUUCGACAGCGUUUUGGACUUGACUAUGAAGACACCUUCAGUCCAGUGGUCAAGCCUACUACCAUCAGACUUCUUCUCUCUCUGGUUGUUACUCGAGGUUGGUUUCUUCGUCAGCUUGAUGUUCAAAAUGCUUUUCUUCAUGGUGUCUUGGCGGAGGAGGUUUACAUGUGCCAGCCUCCGGGUUUCUCUGAUCCGGAUCGCCCUGAUCAUCUCUGUCGUCUGUCCAAGGCAAUUUAUGGUCUGAAGCAGGCUCCUCGUGCUUGGCAUGCUCGUCUUGCAAUGGCUCUUCGUGCUCAUGGUUUUGCAUCAUCAACUGCUGACUCCUCAUUGUUUCUUCUUCAAAGGCCUGAGGUUACUAUGUACUUGUUGGUCUAUGUAGAUGAUAUCAUUUUGGUCAGCUCCUCUCAGUCGGCUGCUACUGCGCUUGUUCGCUCACUUGGUGCUGAUUUUGUGGUCAAGGACCUUGGGAAGCUUUAUUACUUUCUUGGAGUGGAGGUUACUUCUCGUGCUGCUGGCCUUGUUAUGACGCAGAAGAAGUACUCUCUGGAUUUGUUGCAGCGAGCUGGGAUGCUUAAGUGCAAACCGACGACUACACCCAUGUCUACCACUGAUAAGCUCAAUGCUGUUGAUGGUGUGCUUCUUUCUUCUUCUGAUGCGACAGAGUACAGGAGUAUUGUUGGUGGGCUCCAGUACUUGACGAUCACGCGACCAGACAUUUUCUAUGCUGUUAACCGAGUAUGCCAGUAUCUGCAGUCACCCCGUGACACUCAUUGGUCUGCUGUUAAGCGGAUUUUGCGCUAUAUUCGUUUCACGGUGGCUCAUGGUUUGCAUAUUCGGCCGUCUGACUCUGGUUGUCUUUCAGCAUAUUCUGAUGCAGACUGGGCUGGCAAUCCGGAUGACAGGCGAUCCACGGGGGGUUAUGCUGUCUUCUUUGGCUCUAACCUGAUUGCCUAGAGUGCUCGGAAACAGGCUACUGUCUCGCGUAGCAGUACUGAGGCUGAGUAUAAGGCUGUGGCCAAUGCCACAUCAGAGAUCAUCUGGGUACAGUCCUUGCUUCAGGAGUUAAGUAUACCCCAAUCACAGCCUCCUGUUCUUUGGUGUGAUAACAUCGGUGCUACAUACCUUUCUGCAAAUCCGGUAUUCCAUGCCCGAACGAAACACAUUGAAGUUGACUAUCACUUUGUGCGUGAACGUGUCUCUCAGAAGCAACUACAGAUCAAGUUUAUUUCUUCCAAGGAUCAACUUGCUGACAUCUUCACCAAGCCAUUGCCUUUGCCACAGUUUGAGACUUGCAGGCGCAAUCUUACCCUUCUAGAUUCAUUAGAAAGUGACUAAGAUUGAGGAAGGGUGUUAGACUGUAUUUACAUGUGUAUAUUAUAACGUUAUAUACCACCUCAUUAUAUAUAUAUAUGUGAUAGGCCACCCCUAGAGGGUUGUGCAGGUUCCCCCAAAGCCUAUUGUCUUACACUCACCCAGCUCCGUCGCUCGGCGGCGUAGAGCAGGAGCACGCCACGACAAGCGACGCCCAAGCUGGCCCGCACCUCGCCGGUGGCGCGAUAAGCACGGCCGCGCGACGUGGCGACCCGCCUCCCCGCUGGCACGCAGCUCCCCUCCACGUAGCCGCACCACGGCGCCACGUACAGCGGCGCGCGCGCUACAAAUACGGUGGCUCGAGCUCCACUUCCCAGCAGAAUCACACACACAGAGCUAGCUAGUUCAACAAUGGCGACCAGAGCCAGAGUAACCAUCCCUCUCCUCUUCCUCCUGGGCACAAGCCUUCUCUUCGCCGCGGCUGUUUCGGCCUCCCAUGACGAGGAGGAGGACAGGCGCGGUGGGCGCUCGCUUCAGCAGUGCGUGCAGCGGUGCCAUCAGGACCGGCCGCGGUACUCGCAUGCCCGGUGCGUGCAGGAGUGCCGGGACGAGCAGCAGCAGCACGGAAGGCACGAGCAGGAGGAGCAGGGCCACAGCCAUGGCCGGCACGGCGAAGGGGGGCGUGAGGAGGAGCAGGGCCGUGGCCGUGGGCGGCACGGCGAGGGAGAGCGUGAGGAGGAGGAGGGCCGUGGCCGUGGGCGGCACGGCGAGGGGGAGCGUGAGGAGCACGGAAGGCACGAGCAGGGCCGUGGCCGGCGCGGCGAGGGAGAGCGUGAUGAGGAGCACGGGGAUAGCCGCCGGCCGUACGUGUUCGGCCCGCGUAGCUUCCGUAGCAUCAUCCGGAGCGACCACGGGUUCGUGAAGGCCCUUCGCCCGUUCGACGAAGUGUCCAGGCUCCUCCGAGGCAUCAGGAACUACCGCGUCGCCAUCAUGGAGGUGAACCCGCGCUCGUUCGUCGUGCCGGGACUCACGGACGCGGACGGCGUCGGCUACGUCGCUCAAGGUACCGUCCAUCUUGUACACGUAUCAUGCAUCUGCCGAUCGAUGAUAACUAACGUGCGCAUGCAUGCAUGCAUGCACGCAUGCAGGCGAGGGCGUGCUAACGGUGAUCGAGAACGGCGAGAGGCGGUCCUACACCGUCAGGCAAGGCGAUGUCAUCGUGGCGCCGGCGGGGUCGAUCAUGCACCUGGCCAACACCGACGGCCGGAGGAAGCUGGUCAUCGCCAAGAUUCUCCACACCAUCUCCGUGCCCGGCAAGUUCCAGGUAAUUCAAACUAGAUGCCGCUCGAAUUUCUCGAUUGGAUAACGGCGCACUGACUGACUGACACGUGGAUAUCCCGUGCAGUAUUUCUCGGCCAAGCCUCUCCUCGCGAGUUUGAGCAAACGCGUGCUCACAGCGGCUUUGAAGGUACGUACAGUACCAACUUCUCUUUCUUUACUCAAAAAAAAGGGUGCGGCUAGGUCGCUCAGUCAAGUGAUAUUGCAUAAGAAGAAAAAGAAAAAACUAAAAAGAAUAUUUUUGUAUGAAUCUCCAUGCAAAAUCAAAGGACUAUAGCAUCGAAGACUUAGCAAAACUGAAAAAAGAAAAGAAAAACUCGGUACUCACACCCAUGGACAUGGACGUGAACGUGCAGACCUCGGAUGAGCAGCUGGGCAGGCUGCUGUUCGGCAGGCGCCAAGGCCAGGAGGAGGAGUCGUCCAUCUCCAUCGUCCGCGCGUCCGAGGAGCAGCUCCGCGAGCUGCGUCGGCAGGCGUCCGAGGGCGGGCAGGGCCACCACUGGCCUCUCCCCCCGUUCCGCGGCGACUCGCGCGACACCUUCAACCUCCUGGAGCAGCGCCCCAAGAUCGCCAACCGCCACGGCCGCCUCUUCGAGGCCGACGCCCGCAGCUUCCACGCCCUCGCCCAACACGACGUCCGUGUCGCCGUCGCCAACAUCACGCCGGUGCGUCACCACGCUCGCUUAAUUAGGCUCCGAGAAAAGCAUUUCUACCGGCGCUUGAUUUGAUUACGUGACAUGCAUGCAUGUGUCAAUGGCAGGGUUCUAUGACCGCGCCGUACCUGAACACGCAGUCGUUCAAGUUCGCCGUCGUGCUGGAAGGCGAGGGCGAGGUGCAGAUCGUGUGCCCGCACCUAGCCCGCGACAGCGAGCGCCGCGAGCACGAGCACGGCAAGGGCAGGCGGAGCGAGGAAGAGGACGACGACCAGCGGCAGCAACGCCGACGACGCGGGUCCGGCUCCGAGUCCGAGUCCGAGUCCGAGGAGGAGCAGGACCAGCAGAGGUACGAGACGGUCCGCGCGCGGGUGUCGCGCGGCUCGGCGUUCGUGGUGCCGCCCGGCCACCCGGUGGUGGAGAUCGCCUCGUCCCGCGGCAGCAGCAACCUCCAGGUGGUGUGCUUCGAGAUCAACGCCGAGAGGAACGAGCGGGUGUGGCUCGCCGGGAGGAACAACGUGAUCGGCAAGCUGGACAGCCCCGCCCAGGAGCUCACCUUCGGCAGGCCCGCCAGGGAGGUGCAGGAGGUGUUCCGCGCCAAGGACCAGCAGGACGAGGGCUUCGUCGCCGGGCCCGAGCAGCAGAGCCGCCACGAGCAGGAGCAGGAGCGCCGCCGCGGUGACCGCGGGCGUGGUGACGACGCCGUGGGGGCGUUCCUGAGGAUGGCGACCGGCGCGUUCUGAGGCUGCAUGGCCGCUGGAGACUUGUGUGCUGUGUGUACUGUGUAGUGGUUCGUACGUAUGCGGGAGUAGAAUAAAUAAGAGUGGCACGGGCUCGGUACGAUGAUGUAAGUUGCCAACCUACCGACUACCAAGGCAUGUCCAUGUCAAUACAUAAUAAAUACAAGGGCGUUGCGUCUCUUUUUCAGUAUCUUCAGUAUCUUCCUCGUGGCCAGGAAAGAGAUAACGUGUACUGUUAGUCACAAAACAAUUAGUCCAGUUUAGCUACGGAGAAUUUGGAUCGAUUUUAAAUGCAGGAAGGAGAAGGAAUUACUCUUCCGGAGAGAAGGAAGGGCUCA
This 28303-nucleotide long non-coding RNA is filed under the name Triticum aestivum (bread wheat). RNAcentral's name for it is "long non-coding RNA (TAES_LNC002668)". The stretch from base 2903 to 3036 matches the Rfam family "MIR1120/MIR1122 microRNA precursor family". The record is from RNAcentral. Lineage: Eukaryota; Viridiplantae; Streptophyta; Magnoliopsida; Poales; Poaceae.